GCAUAUCAAUAAGCGGAGGAAAAGAACUACAAGGAUUCCCCUAGUACGGCGAGUGAAGCGGGACAGCUCAAAUUUUAAUCUGGCUGCGAUUCGCAGUUCGAGUUGUAAUUUGAAGAAGUCUGUCGCAGUCUGGACGCUGGCACAAGUCUUCUGGAACGGAGCAUCGUAGAGGGUGAGAAUCCCGUCUUUGGUCGAUGUUCGGACGGCAGACGGCAGACUUUCUAAGAGUCGAGUUGUUUGGGAUUGCAGCUCAAAAUGGGUGGUAAACUCCAUCUAAGGCUAAAUAUUGGCGAGAGACCGAUAGCGAACAAGUACCGUGAGGGAAAGAUGAAAAGAACUUUGAAAAGAGAGUAAAACAGUACGUGAAAUUGUUGAAAGGGAAACGCUUGAAGUCAGUCGUGCCGGUGGAAACUCAGCGAGCUUUUUCGCGAAAGCUUGUGAAAUUUUUCGCAUGGCAGGUCAGCGUCAGUUUCGCGAGUGGUAAAAGGGUUCUGGUAAGGUAGCUCUCCUCGGAGAGUGUUAUAGACCGGAGCAGAUGCGACUUGCGAGACUGAGAUGCAGCAGACACCCUUCGUGGAGCGGCGCGCGACUCUGUCCGGCUCCCCGUGCUCAACAGCAUGCUGAGUGGGCGUGGGGACGCUUUGAACACCAGUUGCGAAUAGCCAGCGGUUUGCUAGGACGUUGACGUAAUGGCUUUAAACGAC
This 704-nucleotide ribosomal RNA is filed under the name uncultured Paraglomus. RNAcentral's name for it is "eukaryotic LSU rRNA". It matches the Rfam family "Eukaryotic large subunit ribosomal RNA", at positions 38 to 648 of the family's 3401-position model. Lineage: Eukaryota; Fungi; Glomeromycota; Glomeromycetes; Paraglomerales; Paraglomeraceae. The record is from RNAcentral.